CUACGGGGGGCAGCAGUUAGGAAUAAUCUACAAUGCGCGCAAGCGUGAUAGUUUGAGCCAGAGUGUUUUUCAAUGAAAAGCUUUUGCCAAAUGUAAAAAGUUUGGCGAAUAAGGACUGGGUAAGACGAGUGCCAGCCGCCGCGGUAAUACUCGCGGUCCAAGUCGCAGCCAUUUUUAUUGGGUCUAAAACAUCCGUAGCUUGUUUGAUAAGUUUCUUGUGAAAUUUUAUAUCUCAAAUAUAAAGCGUGCAGGAAAUACUAUCAGGCUAGAGACUGGAAGACGUAAGAAGUACGACAAAGGUAGCGGUUAAAUGUUUUAAUCUUUGUUGGACUCACAAUAGCGAAGGCAUCUUACGAGGACAGUUCUGACAGUAAGGGAUGAAGGCUAGGGGCGCAAAACGGAUUAGAUACCCCCGUAGUC
This 420-nucleotide ribosomal RNA is filed under the name uncultured archaeon. RNAcentral describes it as "partial 16S ribosomal RNA". It matches the Rfam family "Archaeal small subunit ribosomal RNA", at positions 323 to 746 of the family's 1478-position model. The record is from RNAcentral.